CCGGGACCCUGCGUGGCGGGUAGUUUGACUGGGGCGGUCGCCUCCCAAAGAGUAACGGAGGCGCGCGAAGGUUGGCUCAGAGCGGUCGGAAAUCGCUCGUUGAGUGCAAUGGCAUAAGCCAGCCUGACUGUGAGACUGACAGGUCGAACAGAGUCGAAAGACGGCCAUAGUGAUCCGGUGGUCCCGCGUGGAAGGGCCAUCGCUCAACGGAUAAAAGGUACGCCGGGGAUAACAGGCUGAUACUGCCCAAGAGUCCAUAUCGACGG
This 266-nucleotide ribosomal RNA is filed under the name Alexandrium margalefii. RNAcentral describes it as "partial Bacterial large subunit ribosomal RNA". It matches the Rfam family "Bacterial large subunit ribosomal RNA", at positions 2246 to 2511 of the family's 2925-position model. Lineage: Eukaryota; Dinophyceae; Gonyaulacales; Pyrocystaceae. The record is from RNAcentral.